Molecule: ribosomal RNA, 1551 nt
Filed under: Triticum aestivum (bread wheat)
Lineage: Eukaryota; Viridiplantae; Streptophyta; Magnoliopsida; Poales; Poaceae
Description: partial small subunit ribosomal RNA
Source: RNAcentral
AUGAUGGCGCCGCGACGGAGCGCCGCGGAGACAGCGGACGCGGACCGAGCGCGGCUGCACCAGCUGGGGUACAAGCAGGAGCUGAAGCGCGGGCUCAGCGCGGUCUCCAACUUCGCCUUCUCCUUCUCCAUCAUCUCCGUGCUCAUGGGCGUGACGGCCACGUACAACACGGGGCUGCGCUACGGCGGGCCGGCGUCCAUGACGCUCGGGUGGCUGGUGGUGACGGUGUUCAACGGCUGCGUCGCGCUGUCCAUGGCGGAGAUCUGCUCGGCCUACCCGACCUCUGGCGGGCUCUACUACUGGAGCGCCAAGCUCGCCGGCAAGGAGUGGGCGCCUCUCGCCUCCUGGGUCACCGGCUGGUUCAACAUCGUGGGACAGUGGGCGGGCACAACGAGCGUGGACUUCUCGCUGGCGCAGCUCAUCCAGGUGAUCAUCCUGCUCGGCACCGGCGGGGCCAACGGCGGCGGCUACCUGGCGUCCAAGUACGUGGUGCUGGCCAUCUACGGCCUCAUCCUCGUCCUGCAUGGCCUCAUCAACAGCCUCCCCAUCCGCUGGCUCUCCUGGUUCGGCAAGCUUGGCGCAUUCUGGAACGUCGCCGGUAUCUUGGUGUUGGUGAUCCUGAUCCCGGCAGUUGCCAAGGAGAGGGCGAGCGUCGAGUUCAUCUUUACGCACUUCAACACGGACAACGGCAUGGGGAUCCACAACAAGGCUUACAUUCUUGCAGUGGGGUUGUUGAUGAGCCAGUACUCCGUUCUCGGUUACGACGCAUCUGCACACAUGACCGAAGAAACCAAGGGCGCAGACAGAAGCGGGCCGAUCGGGAUCAUCAGCGCGGUGGCUCUCUCGUCCAUCUUCGGGUGGAUCUACCUGGUGGCCCUAACGUCAGUGGUGACGGACAUACCGUACUUGCUGAGCCCCGACAACGAUGCCGGCGGGAAUGCCAUCGCCCAGGCUCUCUACACCACCUUCCAUGAGAGGUACAACACCGGUGUAGGAGCGGUGGCCUGCCUCGGGGUCAUCGCCGGUGCCAUGUUCCUCUGCGGCAUCGGGUCCAUCACCAGCAAUUCGAGGAUGGGUUACGCCUUCUCCCGGGACGGGGCGAUGCCGUACUCGAAUGUGUGGCACAGGGUGAGCAGGCACGAGGUGCCGUUGAACAUGGUGUGGCUUUCCGUCGCCGUGGCAUUUGCCAUGGCCCUCACGUCAUUGGGGAGCCAGGUGGCGUUCCAGGCGAUGGCGUCGAUCGCGACGAUAGGGUUGUACAUCUCCUACGCGCUGCCCAUCUUUUUUCGGGUGACGACGGCCCGGAAGUCGUUCAUACCGGGGCCAUUUCACCUCGGCCAGUACGGGAUCGCCGUCGGAUGGACCGCCGUGCUUUGGGUGGCCUUCGUCACCGUGCUCUUCUCUUUGCCGGUGGCGUACCCGGUGGCCAAGGAUGACUUCAACUACACACCGGUGGCCGUCGGGGGCGUGUUGCUGCUCAGCAUCGGGGCAUGGGUGCUUCACGCGCGUUUCUGGUUCCAAGGGCCCAUCAUAAACGUUGACACGGUCUAG